Unclassified non-coding RNA from Chelonoidis abingdonii (Abingdon island giant tortoise), 171 nucleotides. NCBI's taxonomy places the organism in Eukaryota, Metazoa, Chordata, Testudines, Testudinidae. The record is from Ensembl.
CUGACAACCCUAGAAGCUGAAGUCCUUUAGUUACCCACACACAAGUCACAGCACAGGCAGUGCCAGCUUCCACCACACUCCUCGCCAGUGUGCCUCCACUCUGAAAUGGGGGAACCACCUCUAGAGUACGAGAUUAGCUCAGAUUCCUUUCUUGUUCAGUCCUUGGCCUCU